CCCUCGAUAGCUCAGUUGGAAGAGCGUGGGACUGUAAUUGCUUCUGUAAACCACGAUCCCGAGGUCACUGGUUCGAUCCCGGUUUGAGGGA
Non-coding RNA from Ceratobasidium sp. 428, 91 nucleotides. The record is from the annotation of a GenBank genome assembly. Lineage: Eukaryota; Fungi; Basidiomycota; Agaricomycetes; Cantharellales; Ceratobasidiaceae.